UGCCUGCAGUUUAAAGGGCAAGUUAGCCAAGCGGACUUCAGAGGCACAGAAGACGGCAAGGUCCCUCUCUAGGGAGCUUUUCUACCCACCAUGGCUGUGCUCUGAACGUUUCACACACUUCCUCCUCUCAGCCCCGCCGGGCGUACUGCUCCACUCAGAGCUGAGGCCCCCGAGACCCUCAGGCGCGAGUGACACUGCCGGGCCCGUGCCGGGAGCUGGUGGGAGGUAGAUGUGAGAUAAAGUGAGGAGCACCUGACUUCAAGGUCAAAUAAGUUACGCUUGGUAAUAAUUGGAGAUGAGGGGUUGGGGAGAGGAAAGCCAGGAGGCUCUAACAGCCCUGGCUAAGCGACCAGUGACGGAGGGCGACAGAUCCAUGGUGAGGAGCUCAGAGGGAGGGACAAGAAUAGAAGCAGAGGAGACACCAUGGUGGCCUUAAGCAGGUGUUGGCAGUGGUCACAGCAAGGAUGGCAAGAAGUGUUCAGACCUGAAAUAUACUUUGGAGACAGAGGCUAGAGGCCUGGAGGCACAGCUGUACUCAGUGGAGCAAGACUGUUCAUCCUUCCAGGAGGUCACCUGAAGCUCAGCCAGGAUGGCAUGCUCUGCCCUGCAAACUCCGCAGAAGGAGCCCAUCUCUGGCCCCGCUCCUGUGACUAUGAGGAGUCUCCGCUGCCAGGCUUCCACCCUAAAAAGCAGCAUUGAUGACACAGACACCCACCGGGGACCCUGGAACCAGGAGGGCAGAGGCUGCUGAGCCAACUGUGUCACUGGGGCCCUGAAUGUGUGGGGUUGAGCUUGACAGGCCAGGUCCCCACGCACGUAAUGAGAUGGUAGGAGAGCUGAGGAGUGGCGCACCCCCUCCCAGCAGGGAAGACACAGCCUGAACCCCGAGAUGCAGACAGGGAGGGGCCGCCUAGGGGAGGCCACGGCCCAGUGGGUUUCCUGCGAUGGUGCCCUUCUCCUGUCCUUCAUUCAGACUGCACACGUUAUCUUACUGUAAUAAAUACAUCCUGUCUGGCAACACAACCUGGAUUACCUACUGAAGAAGCCAAUGAAAAAUGGCCAGGAUCUUUCUAGGGUUUCCCCUUCUGCAUAGCACAAGAUUCAUCAGCCCCUCUCACGACUGUGUGGCCAAAGGCAAGUCCGACUGCACUGGUGUGAACCCUGCAGGCCAGGUGCCCGUGGGGACACGAGAGAAGCAGUGCCCAGGGGUGUGGGCAGGAGCCACCAAGCACAGUGCUCUGGGGAUGGGCGCACACAGGGAGAAGACAC
This 1269-nucleotide long non-coding RNA is filed under the name Heterocephalus glaber (naked mole-rat). RNAcentral describes it as "lncRNA (ENSHGLG00100045854.1)". Lineage: Eukaryota; Metazoa; Chordata; Mammalia; Rodentia; Bathyergidae. The record is from RNAcentral.